UGGGGAAUUUUGGACAAUGGGCGAAAGCCUGAUCCAGCAAUGCCGCGUGUGUGAAGAAGGCCUUCGGGUUGUAAAGCACUUUUGUCCGGAAAGAAAUCCUUGGCUCUAAUACAGUCGGGGGAUGACGGUACCGGAAGAAUAAGCACCGGCUAACUACGUGCCAGCAGCCGCGGUAAUACGUAGGGUGCAAGCGUUAAUCGGAAUUACUGGGCGUAAAGCGUGCGCAGGCGGUUUGCUAAGGCCGAUGUGAAAUCCCCGGGCUCAACCUGGGAACUGCAUUGGUGACUGGCAGGCUAGAGUAUGGCAGAGGGGGUAGAAUUCCACGUGUAGCAGUGAAAUGCGUAGAGAUGUGGAGGAAUACCGAUGGCGAAGGCAGCCCCCUGGGCCAAUACUGACGCUCAUGCACGAAAGCGUGGGGAGCAAACAGGAUUAGAUACCCUGGUAGUCCACGCCCUAAACGAUGUCAACUAGUUGUUGGGGAUUCAUUUCCUUAGUAACGUAGCUAACGCGUGAAGUUGACCGCCUGGGGAGUACGGUCGCAAGAUUAAAACUCAAAGGAAUUGACGGGGUCAUAGCUGUUUCCU
This 584-nucleotide ribosomal RNA is filed under the name uncultured bacterium. RNAcentral's name for it is "partial 16S ribosomal RNA". It matches the Rfam family "Bacterial small subunit ribosomal RNA", at positions 355 to 1375 of the family's 1533-position model. The record is from RNAcentral.